GGCCCGGUAGCUCAGUUGGUUAGAGCGCUAGCCUGUCACGCUAGAGGUCAGGGGUUCGAGCCCCCUUCGGGUCGCCA
Molecule: transfer RNA, 77 nt
Filed under: Clostridia bacterium
Lineage: Bacteria; Bacillati; Bacillota; Clostridia
Description: tRNA-Asp
Rfam family: tRNA
About the family: Transfer RNA (tRNA) molecules are approximately 80 nucleotides in length. Their secondary structure includes four short double-helical elements and three loops (D, anti-codon, and T loops).
Source: RNAcentral